UUAGCGGCGGACGGGUGAGUAACACGUGGGCAACCUGCCCUGCAGAUCGGGAUAACUCCGGGAAACCGGUGCUAAUACCGAAUAGUUUGCGGCCUCUCCUGAGGCUGCACGGAAAGACGGUUUCGGCUGUCACUGCAGGAUGGGCCCGCGGCGCAUUAGCUAGUUGGUGGGGUAAUGGCCCACCAAGGCGACGAUGCGUAGCCGACCUGAGAGGGUGAUCGGCCACACUGGGACUGAGACACGGCCCAGACUCCUACGGGAGGCAGCAGUAGGGAAUCUUCCGCAAUGGACGAAAGUCUGACGGAGCAACGCCGCGUGAGUGACGAAGGUUUUCGGAUCGUAAAACUCUGUUGUGAGGGAAGAACAAGUACCACGUAACUACUGGUACCUUGACGGUACCUCACCAGAAAGCCACGGCUAACUACGUGCCAGCAGCCGCGGUAAUACGUAGGUGGCAAGCGUUGUCCGGAAUUAUUGGGCGUAAAGCGCGCGCAGGCGGUCCCUUAAGUCUGAUGUGAAAGCCCACGGCUCAACCGUGGAGGGUCAUUGGAAACUGGGGGACUUGAGUGCAGAAGAGGAAAGUGGAAUUCCAUGUGUAGCGGUGAAAUGCGUAGAGAUGUGGAGGAACACCAGUGGCGAAGGCGACU
RNAcentral lists this ribosomal RNA (647 nucleotides) under Planococcus sp. CY-C3-1. Its description in RNAcentral is "bacterial SSU rRNA". It matches the Rfam family "Bacterial small subunit ribosomal RNA", at positions 92 to 726 of the family's 1533-position model. Lineage: Bacteria; Bacillati; Bacillota; Bacilli; Caryophanales; Caryophanaceae. The record is from RNAcentral.